Dioscorea cayenensis subsp. rotundata (Guinea yam) is the source of this 108-nucleotide small nucleolar RNA. Lineage: Eukaryota; Viridiplantae; Streptophyta; Magnoliopsida; Dioscoreales; Dioscoreaceae. The record is from RefSeq and is a predicted model, not a curated record.
AUUCCAUGUUGUGGGCACUUCCUCAAUAAUUCCUUGUAUCUUUCAUAUGCUUCAUACAAGGUUUUCAGACUCCAUAUGUCGAAAUAAAGAUAUGCCACUCCUAAGCUC